GGAGAGUUGACCGAGAGGCUAAGGAGCUCGCCUGGAAAGCGAGUAAGGCGAAAGCCCCGUGGGUUCAAUUCCCACACUCUCCGCCA
RNAcentral lists this transfer RNA (86 nucleotides) under Clostridiales bacterium. RNAcentral describes it as "tRNA-Ser". It matches the Rfam family "tRNA". Rfam says of the family: Transfer RNA (tRNA) molecules are approximately 80 nucleotides in length. Their secondary structure includes four short double-helical elements and three loops (D, anti-codon, and T loops). Lineage: Bacteria; Bacillati; Bacillota; Clostridia; Eubacteriales. The record is from RNAcentral.